GGAUUAGUGGCGAACGGGUGAGUAACACGUGAGUAACCUGCCCUUCACUUUGGGAUAACUCCGAGAAAUCGGGGCUAAUACUGGAUAUGACCUUGGCCCGCAUGGGUUUGGUGGAAAGUUUUCGGUGGGGGAUGGGCUCGCGGCCUAUCAGUUUGUUGGUGAGGUAGUGGCUCACCAAGGCGAUGACGGGUAGCCGGCCUGAGAGGGCGACCGGCCACACUGGGACUGAGACACGGCCCAG
RNAcentral lists this ribosomal RNA (241 nucleotides) under uncultured Actinomycetales bacterium. RNAcentral's name for it is "partial 16S ribosomal RNA". It matches the Rfam family "Bacterial small subunit ribosomal RNA", at positions 89 to 334 of the family's 1533-position model. The record is from RNAcentral. Lineage: Bacteria; Bacillati; Actinomycetota; Actinomycetes; Actinomycetales.